Molecule: long non-coding RNA, 507 nt
Organism: Morus notabilis
Lineage: Eukaryota; Viridiplantae; Streptophyta; Magnoliopsida; Rosales; Moraceae
Exons: 2
Source: RefSeq, a predicted model, not a curated record
UGAGCAUGAUGUUGUCUGGUUUUGGCUGGAGAAAGGAAAGCCACAUGAAUGCCCAGUCUGCUCACAGUAUUUUGAGCUUGAAGUGGUGGGACCUGGAGGAUCUCCCGAUGGACAUGACGACGAUGGUCAUCAUCACUGAUUAUAGCCUGCGGUUUUCCUUCUGGAAUAAAGUCUAGGAAAUGAAGAGACAAUUUUCAGUACGCUCUGCAGAUUUCAAAAUUCAAAAGCAUAAUGUUUUGUUUGAUUUUGAUUGGUCCUAGUUUUGUUGUUGUUGCAUUUGCAACAUUUGAGACGGAAUCUUCUCUGUGGUAAUAUAGACACAGGCGGGUCUCCUAUUGGAACAAUGGAUUUCUUCAAAUGCAUUUGUCGAAUAAUCGUUGGCUAUUGAUUCUUUACCUUGAUUUGGAACAUUUUCAUUUUCCUCAAAAGGGGACUUGUAGCGUACAGAUUGUAAGCUCCUUCCCUUCCCCCCUCCUUUUGGAAAAAUAUUAAGCACAUUUGUUCUAA